AAAUCGGUGUUAUUAAACACCACCUUUUUGGAAUUGGGGCAAAGUAU
Helicosporidium sp. ATCC 50920 is the source of this 47-nucleotide non-coding RNA. Lineage: Eukaryota; Viridiplantae; Chlorophyta; Trebouxiophyceae; Chlorellales; Chlorellaceae. The record is from Rfam.